CAGUAGCCACGGUAACACCGAGGAUGCAAGCGUUAUCCGGAAUGAUUGGGCGUAAAGCGUCUGUAGGUGGCUUUUCAAGUCCGCCGUCAAAUCCCAGGGCUCAACCCUGGACAGGCGGUGGAAACUACCAAGCUGGAGUACGGUUGGGGCAGAGGGAAUUUCCGGUGGAGCGGUGAAAUGCGUAGAGAUGUGGAGGAACACCAGUGGCGAAGGCGACUCUCUGGUCUGUAACUGACGCUGAGGAGCGAAAGCGUGGGGAGCGAACAGGAUUAGAUACCCCAGUAGUCCCUGUCUCUUAUAC
RNAcentral lists this ribosomal RNA (301 nucleotides) under uncultured bacterium. RNAcentral describes it as "partial 16S ribosomal RNA". It matches the Rfam family "Bacterial small subunit ribosomal RNA", at positions 509 to 807 of the family's 1533-position model. The record is from RNAcentral.